UUGAAGAGUUUGAUCAUGGCUCAGAUUGAACGCUGGCGGCAGGCCUAACACAUGCAAGUCGAACGGUAGCAGGAAGUGCUUGCACUUCGCUGACGAGUGGCGGACGGGUGAGUAAUGCUUGGGAACUUGCCUUUGCGAGGGGGAUAACAGUUGGAAACGACUGCUAAUACCGCAUAAUGUCUUCGGACCAAACGGGGCUUCGGCUCCGGCGCAAAGAGAGGCCCAAGUGAGAUUAGCUAGUUGGUAAGGUAACGGCUUACCAAGGCGACGAUCUCUAGCUGUUCUGAGAGGAAGAUCAGCCACACUGGGACUGAGACACGGCCCAGACUCCUACGGGAGGCAGCAGUGGGGAAUAUUGCACAAUGGGGGAAACCCUGAUGCAGCCAUGCCGCGUGUGUGAAGAAGGCCUUCGGGUUGUAAAGCACUUUCAGUCGUGAGGAAAGGGAUACGGUUAAUACCCGUAUUCUGUGACGUUAGCGACAGAAGAAGCACCGGCUAACUCCGUGCCAGCAGCCGCGGUAA
RNAcentral lists this ribosomal RNA (522 nucleotides) under Eutreptiella gymnastica. RNAcentral's name for it is "partial Bacterial small subunit ribosomal RNA". It matches the Rfam family "Bacterial small subunit ribosomal RNA", at positions 1 to 523 of the family's 1533-position model. Lineage: Eukaryota; Euglenozoa; Euglenophyceae; Eutreptiales; Eutreptiaceae. The record is from RNAcentral.